AAGCCCAGCUUGCUGGGUGGAUCAGUGGCGAACGGGUGAGUAACACGUGAGCAAUCUGCCCCUGACUCUGGGAUAAGCGCUGGAAACGGCGUCUAAUACUGGAUACGAACCGUGGAGGCAUCUUCAACGGUUGGAAAGAUUUUUUGGUCAGGGAUGAGCUCGCGGCCUAUCAGCUUGUUGGUGAGGUAAUGGCUCACCAAGGCGUCGACGGGUAGCCGGCCUGAGAGGGUGACCGGCCACACUGGGACUGAGACACGGCCCAGACUCCUACGGGAGGCAGCAGUGGGGAAUAUUGCACAAUGGGCGAAAGCCUGAUGCAGCAACGCCGCGUGAGGGAUGACGGCCUUCGGGUUGUAAACCUCUUUUAGCAGGGAAGAAGCGAAAGUGACGGUACCUGCAGAAAAAGCGCCGGCUAACUACGUGCCAGCAGCCGCGGUAAUACGUAGGGCGCAAGCGUUAUCCGGAAUUAUUGGGCGUAAAGAGCUCGUAGGCGGUUUGUCGCGUCUGCUGUGAAAUCCCGAGGCUCAACUUCGGGUCUGCAGUGGGUACGGGCAGACUAGAGUGCGGUAGGGGAGAUUGGAAUUCCUGGUGUAGCGGUGGAAUGCGCAGAUAUCAGGAGGAACACCGAUGGCGAAGGCAGAUCUCUGGGCCGUAACUGACGCUGAGGAGCGAAAGGGUGGGGAGCAAACAGGCUUAGAUACCCUGGUAGUCCACCCCGUAAACGUUGGGAACUAGUUGUGGGGUCCAUUCCACGGAUUCCGUGACGCAGCUAACGCAUUAAGUUCCCCGCCUGGGGAGUACGGCCGCAAGGCUAAAACUCAAAGGAAUUGACGGGGACCCGCACAAGCGGCGGAGCAUGCGGAUUAAUUCGAUGCAACGCGAAGAACCUUACCAAGGCUUGACAUAUACGAGAACGCUGCAGAAAUGUAGAACUCUUUGGACACUCGUAAACAGGUGGUGCAUGGUUGUCGUCAGCUCGUGUCGUGAGAUGUUGGGUUAAGUCCCGCAACGAGCGCAACCCUCGUUCUAUGUUGCCAGCACGUAAUGGUGGGAACUCAUGGGAUACUGCCGGGGUCAACUCGGAGGAAGGUGGGGAUGACGUCAAAUCAUCAUGCCCCUUAUGUCUUGGGCUUCACGCAUGCUACAAUGGCCGGUACAAAGGGCUGCAAUACCGUGAGGUGGAGCGAAUCCCAAAAAGCCGGUCCCAGUUCGGAUUGAGGUCUGCAACUCGACCUCAUGAAGUCGGAGUCGCUAGUAAUCGCAGAUCAGCAACGCUGCGGUGAAUACGUUCCCGGGUCUUGUACACACCGCCCGUCAAGUCAUGAAAGUCGGUAACACCUGAAGCCGGUGGCC
This 1353-nucleotide ribosomal RNA is filed under the name Microbacterium laevaniformans. RNAcentral's name for it is "bacterial SSU rRNA". It matches the Rfam family "Bacterial small subunit ribosomal RNA", at positions 71 to 1435 of the family's 1533-position model. The record is from RNAcentral. Lineage: Bacteria; Bacillati; Actinomycetota; Actinomycetes; Micrococcales; Microbacteriaceae.